GCCAGGCUUGUCCAACAGAGUAGCUACUACCAUGUGAUCACUGAGCAGGUGUUCCACCAAUGGAGCCACCCAGGCACCCACAGGGCCUGCUAUUCUUAUCCUCUUUCCUGAUGAAACACUGGAGACAAAGGACAUGCCUGUUUUACACUGAAUUCAGAACCACCCUGGACUAGGAGCAAUCAAGCUAACAACCUGAGUCUGUGCAAACUACAGAGGUUAAAUGAAGUUAAUCUGCACACAGAAACACCCAGAAAACAUUGGUGCCAGGUGACUGUCAGAGCCAUGCAGGUCCCAGAGAUCCAGCAACCAACAUGGACUUUCACUGCUCAAAUAAACUAGGAAAAACUCUAAGCUACUGAUCCUGGAUACAGGGUUAAAAACUUGCUUUUGCUCCCAGCGAGGAACAUGGCUGUGGACCUUCAAGACAAAUCCAUCAUGACUGCCUCUGCACUGGUGCACCCUCUUUCCUGUCUGGAAGAGCUCUCCAGUCCUCCCUCUGGAAUGCUUUCUCCCAUCUACCACCCCACCCAGAUGCACUUCUCAACCCUCCCCUAAAGAACUUCCAGAUCAGCCUUGGACAGCCUACCAUAUUCUAAUGUCUUCUUCUCUCAGGCCAUUUUCAGAACUGCUGUAUGAUGGGACAAUUAGGGAUGAGUUUUAAAGGACAGGAUCCUCAGGAACUGUAUGCCAUCCCUCCCCUGCUGUGACUGCUAGGGAUCCUGACGAGGAACACGGAGGAACACGUGCUCUGCCGAGAGCCAAGGCAUGCGAGACCUGGUGCGCACAGAGCAGCAGUCACAGCAGCACGGCAGCCUUCUUCCCUUCAGGAGGCAACCAGACCUCUGCGUGCAGCUCUUGCUCAGUUUACCUCCCUCCCUUGAGGCUGGCCAUUCAAAUGUUUCUCUGCUGCACACACGCACGGUGCCCCUGCAGUCCCUCCUUCUCCAGCACUACCCUUUCUGCUCUGCUGUCGGAGGAGCUGCCUUACAAUCAGUUUUGGUUUUAUUCCCAUCAGUCCUUUUCGUGACCUCUUGCAAUAAUGAAAAGUCAGAGGAAACCAUAAAGUCACUGCAUCCUUCAUUUAACCCACAUUAAUAAAAAAAAAUAAAUAAUAACCCACAUUAAUUAGGAAAAGACUAGGUGUGCCUCUGUUUCAUUGUGGUAUCAAGAAAAGCCACUUAGAGAACCCCCAGAGUCUUUCAGCAGGUUUGGCCGAACACCUGGUACACAGCAAGUGCUUAAUAAGCAUUCAUGUGAACAGGCCCCCUCCUCACCAUAUAAUCUUGCCAUACCACAGUGAGCCACUAACUGCCAGGGCUCGAAGGCAGGAACAGGAACGCUUCUCAGGCCACCAGCUCAGAGCCUCUAAGCAGGCCUCCCUGGCCUCUUCGGCAGCCGGACUCCCAGCGUCGGCAUCAGGCAUGCGGACCGUCCUGGGAACAGAGACUUGCACAAGCCCUUAGAUUACUUCCUUUCUACCUGGAGUCAAAGCUGACAUCAGUGGAGUCUUCUCCUGUCCAAUCUCAUAGGCCAAGCAUUGACCAACCGCCCUCCAACAGAUUCCAACUGCCAGAGGCUGGCUACAAGCGUGUUCCCUUUGGGGCCGCUGACAUCACAGUCCAACCGUGGAAUCUUCACGUCCUCACACUUCACACGCCCCUCCCCAGCCAGAGGCUUUCAUCUCUCUCAAUCAACACUUCCCACCCAAAUGAGAAUUUGACAUCUUGCAAUCAAUCACCUUCACUCCUCGGGGGAUUCCAGGGAAGACGCACUGGGUUUUCAGCACUACAUGGGGACAUGCUGCCAAGAGGGCCUGCAGCCUUUCCAACACACUAACCACCUCGUGGAGAGAGAGAGUGGCAAGCCAGCGCACAGUUCUAAAGCACGAUUGUCUAUGAAAAUGGCAGUGAAUGAGUUCUCUGUGAGGGCAUACUCCUUCCUUUGUGCUCUCACUGAAUCUUCCAUGGAGUCAGUAAAAUCAAGUGGGAACUACCAUGUAUUGUCCACUGCUGAGUGCCAGGAACUUUAAAUGCUUCGUGCAUUCCAUGCUAAUGCUAUUUUGAGCUACACAUGAGGAUUUUCCAGGUCAGCUGUGUGUGAUUUGUCCCUAUCCACUGACACAGGACACAAAGUUAACAGAACUAAUCUCACCUCAACAUCAGACAAAAAAGCAUCUUACAAAAAAGUAAUCCACAUGCACAGAGCCUACCAUCCUGGAGGAGUGAACAGUCUGUGCGAAGGAAUGACCAAGGACACACAAGAAGGAAAGGCACUUGAACCGGAAGAUCCAAGAAGUACAUAGUUCUUUUCUACAUGAAGAUCCAAGAAGUACAUAGUUCUUUUCUACAUGGAGUUCUUUUCUACAUGGAGAGUCCCAGAGAGAGGCUCAGGACCCCUCAAGUAUUUUUCAGGCCUCCAGCAAAGGCAGUUUAUAAACAGUAUACUGUUGCAUAUGCAACUGAGUUGGCCCUCCUUGACCAUCCCAAGCCUGUGGCAAGAUUGAUCGUGGGGAUUUGUACCGGCUUCAUCCCCUCUUGCAAUAGCCUGGUUCACGUGAGCUUCACAGCUACAAGAGAAAACCCUCUACCAAAACAUGAAAGGUGAAAUGGGUUGGGUAAGCAUUAAUGAACAAGGCACAGAAAAGCAGUGCUAUGUGAGUGACCAGAAGAGCCCUCGCAGCACAGCCUGGCCAUGGGCUCUUCCCCUGGUUGACACUAGAGAGGUAUGUCAUGCACUGAUCAAGUGUAGAAUAAUCUCAAGAAUCAGACAAAUGUGGGUUCCAACCCCCAAGAGUACCCUAGAUGAGUUACUGAAGCAUCUGCAAUCCCUAGAUUACAAGGAGUUUGUAAGGAUGACAUGAGUGGACACAGUUAAUAAGCACCCAGUCUGACCUGUACUAACUUUCAAGGUCUCAACACACACUGAGUUAUAAUUCUAAAAUGAAGAAUCUGUUUUGAAGAAACUAAGAAUGCAUUUCAUUCUUUCUCUAUUCACAUCCCUCCACUCUCCAUUAAUUGUGUUAUUUUCCUAUCAAUUCCUAUUCUCUAGUUUAAAAACUCGGUAUUCUGGGCUAUGAUACUUUUCUUUUUUUUUUAGUACCGUGGGCCAGGCUAUAAAGACACCAAAUAAAGCAGCUUUUUGUUGUCUUUUGUG
Molecule: long non-coding RNA, 3153 nt
Organism: Canis lupus familiaris (dog)
Lineage: Eukaryota; Metazoa; Chordata; Mammalia; Carnivora; Canidae
Exons: 7
Source: RefSeq, a predicted model, not a curated record